Cottoperca gobio is the source of this 1629-nucleotide long non-coding RNA. NCBI's taxonomy places the organism in Eukaryota, Metazoa, Chordata, Actinopteri, Perciformes, Bovichtidae. The record is from Ensembl.
GAAAGCAUAAAUACCCAUAUCUAAUUUUUGCACCAUUGUUUUUCUUUCUCUACCAGUUUGACCCAGCAACCUAUAUUCUACCGGCCGCUAGGGGGCGGUGGCGGCUCCCUUUCAUGAGUGCACGAGACUUGUUUGUAAACAGAUCCGUCUCGCCCGAGCACGAGGAAGCGCGCACGCGUACACACACAGAGAAAGGCGAGCCACGCGGGUUUCUCUCUGCUUUAAAAACUGAUGAUAUGAAGCUGGAUGGAUGAUGCAACUUUGAGCUGUCAAGUUCUCAAGCAACUUCUGCAGCAAUAAAAGAGAUUAAAUGAAUCUACAAAUAAAGCACUUACUUGGUCUAUCUGACGCUCCGUGGUGAGGCUGUGUGCAGGUCAGAAACCAGCCGUAACAGGUGGACAUCAGAGGGGAUCAAAUGUGCCAAAACAACCGAUUAACCCAUCAAAGCAAAAAUACCGACGAGAUGUGCCGAAUAACAGAGAAACUUGUUCUCGCUGCUCUUCUCUGUCCGGGCUGUGCGGUCUGUCUGAGUGGUCUCCUCGAGUGGUCUCCUCCUGUCUACUGUCCUUGUCAAACAUAUAUGUAUGAAGAGAAGAACAAGAGCUGACGUCCUGUGUGAAUUUUCAGAAUAAAACCCACGUCAACCUUUAUUGAACACAGUGGGGGAAAACGUUUCUUCUUGUGUUGUUUUUAGAUUAACUGAGAUUUAAACAUCCCUUGAACAUCCUUUGUUUAUCUGUGACUUUAUUUAUCAUGCUGCAAACCUUUGCACAUUCCUUGGUUAUAGUUUGCACAUUCCUGCACAGAACUGUGCAGCUUUUAUUUUUAUAAACAGAUAUAUUGUACAUAUCUUUCUAUUUUAUUUAUGUUUCUUGAUUUUUGCAGUACUUGCUUUUCAUCCUUUUCUUUUCUCUUACUAUGUUUAUUGUUAUUCACCAAAAUACCAAGGUAUAUCAUGGCAUACCAUGUCUAAACAUGCAUGACCGUGCAUGGUUAUUGGUGAAUUUAAUUUAUUUAUUUAUUGAGACAGUCAAACAUUAAUAAUACUGUGUGUGUAUCUGUGUGAAUUAUGGGAAAAAAUAAAAUAAAACAUUAACAGUGGAGCAUACUCUUGGUAUAUGCCAGAGAUUUAAAAAUGUGCCUAUGUUAACACUAUCAUUUUUACAUAGGACCGUAAUGUACUUGGCCUAUAUGUGUUAUGUUAUGGUGUGUAUUUGAAUAGUAAAAACAAAACAAAAAUGUCCAAAGCCAAACAUAACAUCUAGAAACUAUACAUUGUGUCUUACUUUUAGGUGAUCUGUCCAUCAUUUAUUAUUUUACCUGCACAAAUGUACUGUGCACUGUGUUUCUCAAUACUAAUUCUCCAUUUCCAAUUUCUAUCUGUAUUCCCCAACGAUGCACUUUAUAUCUUUUCAACUCCUGCUUUUAUUUUGAUGGCCGAAUCACAGUUGAGAUAACUUCCUUCUCCACAUCCUCGACAAGUGCCGACAUGCUCCCCAACAGGAUGCUGCCGUCUUACUUUCUCCAUCUCUUUCUCUCUUUUGCAUUUUCUGUUACUUCCUCUGUUGUUUUUAUUUGUAACAAUUUGGGACUUCCUUUAGCAUAAUAAAUAAAAACAUUUGUAUUUAU